UACAGAGGUCCCAAGCGUUGUUCGGAAUUACUGGGCGUAAAGGGCGCGUAGGCGGCGUGUCAAGUCAGGCGUGAAAGCCCCGGGCUCAACCUGGGAACCGCGCUUGAGACUGGCAUGCUCGAGUUCGGGAGAGGAUGGUGGAAUUCCCAGUGUAGAGGUGAAAUUCGUAGAUAUUGGGAAGAACACCGAUGGCGAAGGCAGCCAUCUGGACCGACACUGACGCUGAGGCGCGAAAGCGUGGGGAGCAAACAGG
RNAcentral lists this ribosomal RNA (253 nucleotides) under uncultured bacterium. RNAcentral's name for it is "partial 16S ribosomal RNA". It matches the Rfam family "Bacterial small subunit ribosomal RNA", at positions 524 to 776 of the family's 1533-position model. The record is from RNAcentral.